This 301-nucleotide non-coding RNA is filed under the name Salmo salar (Atlantic salmon). Its description in RNAcentral is "Eukaryotic large subunit ribosomal RNA". It matches the Rfam family "Eukaryotic large subunit ribosomal RNA", at positions 675 to 954 of the family's 3401-position model. The record is from Rfam by way of RNAcentral. Lineage: Eukaryota; Metazoa; Chordata; Actinopteri; Salmoniformes; Salmonidae.
CUAACGCACACGCAAGUCAGACGGUUUUCUCCGAACACACCCCGUGGCGCAAUGAAAGUGAGGGCCGGCGCACGCCGGCUGAGGUGGGAUCCCGGCCGCGCACCACCGGCCCAUCUCGCCCGCUCUGUCGGGUAGGUGGAGCGUGAGCGCAUGCAAUAGGACCCGAAAGAUGGUGAACUAUGCCUGGGCAGGGCGAAGCCAGAGGAAACUCUGGUGGAGGUCUGUAGUGGUCCUGACGUGCAAAUCGGUCGUCCGACCUGGGUAUAGGGGCGAAAGACUAAUCGAACCAUCUAGUAGCUGG